Lytechinus pictus (painted urchin) is the source of this 4064-nucleotide long non-coding RNA. RefSeq lists it as uncharacterized. NCBI's taxonomy places the organism in Eukaryota, Metazoa, Echinodermata, Echinoidea, Temnopleuroida, Toxopneustidae. The transcript is spliced from 4 exons. The record is from RefSeq and is a predicted model, not a curated record.
UAACGUGAGACCCUAUCAAAAUAACCUUUAAAAAUAGUAUGCUGCCACCACAAUAGUUUAGAGAGUUAUUGAGCUCUUGGCCAAGCAUAAUCUAACGCUUGACCGAAAUGAAGAAACUUUUCUUCAUGAGAACUUUAAAGAGCUAGUGAACCACCAAUCAUAAUAGCCAUCUCAUGAUCCAUAAUAUCUGAGUUCUAUUACGAGCUCCGUGAUUGGUCCAUCUUCUCACAUCGACCGCCAACUUUUAGCAUCUCCAUUCUGCCAGAACCACAGAGGUUGAAGGAGCUCCGAUGAUCUGAAGAAAAACCAUCUUUUCUCCCAUCACAAGACUUCUGUCAUACUCCAGCGUCCUGACCUUCACAGCAGAAUUUAACUGGUGUUGGAGAAGGUAACAGCAAAUCUACCGGCAGACUGAUUUCUCUUCCAAGCAUCAUCAUAGCAGGACUCUCUCCAGUUGAUUCCUGGACUGCUGAUCUGUAUGCCAACAUCGCGAAUGGAAUCCUCUCAUCCCAGUCCUUCUGUUCACCAUCUGGAUUGAGCAAUGACGACACCAUACCCAUCUUCUUCAAUCUCCUACAAUGUCAAAAAUCGGUGCAAGGUUGUCUGGAUAACUCAUCAGCAUUUGAGUGAGCAUGUCCAGCACAAUUUUCCAAGGUGACGACUGCGCUCCAUCCCCUACUGCUCCGACGUGACGUGGCUUAUUCCUCUCUCCUGCCUUCUCCGUCUGUAGAAAAGACUCCAUUCGUCAGUACAGCUGCCAUCGCCUCAUCUAGCAUCCUGGGGUGAGCUCAGAAAAUAGCACCUCUGACCUCUCCAUCAAUUGCUACUGAGAAAACUAGCAAGCCUCUCCAGCAUCAAUGCUCAGCUCCGGGUAUGCCAGGCAAGUAAGUUCCCUAAUUGCCUGACCUAGUUCCUGUAGACUCUCCGCUGUCGAUGCCUAGUCCGCAGUUCCAGCAACAAGGUUUCAGCGUUCUCUCCAGGACCAAGUCAUCUGUCCAAAGUGAAGUCAGAUUGGGUAGGUGAGUUCCUGACCAUAUAGACUGUUUGAGACCUCCAGUUCUGCCUCUACGAGCCUCAUGGUGAGAACCUAUCCAGCGUCAACGUCAUUUCAACCAUUCAGCCUCCACAACUUCCGUAUCCAGCUGCUAACUCAGACUGUAGCUCGACGCUUGGUUUCACCAUAUUGAGUGUUAUAGUUUUGAUUUAUUUGGAUGUUUGAUUAAUUUUUAGUUUAGGUAUAAUACCUUUUCCUGUAUCAUGUCAAGCACACAUACCCUUACAUUGUAAAAGGAAUAGAUACAUUGUAAAAGGAGUAGAUUUCCUUAUUAUUCACAGUGAUUAAUUCACUGUCAUGUCCAUAGACAUAUUAAUGCUCAUUUUCCAUAUUCAAUCUUAACUUAUUUAAUGCACACUUGUAAUAAGGAACUCAAAACACAACUUAUUUAUUAUACAUAGCUUAAACAAUACAUUCUUAAAUAUCUACUAGUACCGUACACAACUAUACAUAAUAAUCGAAAAAAAUUUAUAUACUUAAUACAGAUCACUCUACUACUUAGCAGACAAAAAUGUACCGGUAUUUUUUUUUUCUUUUAAAAGUGGAGGGGUUCUUUGAAAAGACCAUCCCACCGCCGUGCCACCAAAAAUGUAAAUUUUUGUACAGGUAUUUUCCAAACAGACCAUCCCACCGCCGUGCCACCAAAAAUGUAACGUGAGACCCUAUCAAAAUAACCUUUAAAAAUAGUAUGCUGCCACCACAAUAGUUUAGAGAGUUAUUGAGCUCUUGGCCAAGCAUAAUCUAACGCUUGACCGAAAUGAAGAAACUUUUCUUCAUGAGAACUUUAAAGAGCUAGUGAACCACCAAUCAUAAUAGCCAUCUCAUGAUCCAUAAUAUCUGAGUUCUAUUACGAGCUCCGUGAUUGGUCCAUCUUCUCACAUCGACCGCCAACUUUUAGCAUCUCCAUUCUGCCAGAACCACAGAGGUUGAAGGAGCUCCGAUGAUCUGAAGAAAAACCAUCUUUUCUCCCAUCACAAGACUUCUGUCAUACUCCAGCGUCCUGACCUUCACAGCAGAAUUUAACUGGUGAGUUUACUCACUGAGUGAUUAAGUAAGAUUUAAUUAUAUAACCAUGAUAUUUCUCAUCUUUCAUUGAUAGAGUUAGCCAUGAACCAAUCUCUAUUCACUCACAUACAAAACGUUUUGUUCGCCUCGUGUUCUACACACACGAUCAGGCAUAUCCACAUCACACACGUGCAAUCGUAUGCACAUAGGCAAUCAUAGAAGCGGUCAGUCCUUGCUUCGCAAUCAAUCAUUCUAGUCUCUUUCAGUUCUCAAAUCCACUCUAUCACUGGGUCUCACUAGGUAAGCGUAGUUUUCCAAGCUCGAUGACGAGUUCCGUUUUCUUGCAAUAUACAAGGUUGGUCUAUAAAUAAACUAAGAACCCUAACUUAAAUAAUGCUUAAACUAAUUGUACGGUACUUCUUAUCCCUAAACACAUCAUCAAUCAAUCAUCACUAAUCAAUUGAUCACCAUUUCUAAUUCUAAGACUUAGCAACAAAUCCAAUUUAUUGGAUUCAUCAUUCUCAACAAACACUGAUCACUAAUCAUGUUCCUUCUAGAUUCAAGUGUGCAAGUUCAAUUAUUGAUUCCUAAGAAAUAACAAGUAAAGUUCAACUGAACUUUAAUAUAAGAAAAACUUGAAGUUAACAAUUCUUCUGAAACAUUUCAACAAUAAAAUUUGGAUAUUUACAUCAAUUUGCAUAAGUAUAAAAUUCAUUGAAUAUGGAAUGAGCAAUAUAAAAUUGUAUAACUUACUCUAGGCCUACAUAGUAAAGAACUUAAAUGUAAGUCUGUGCAUGUCACUCUUAAAUUGAUAGAAUGAUAAAUAGAAUAAUAAUUAAUUACUAACUUAAUAAAUCCUAUGUAUUCACUGUUUUAAAUACACUAAGCAAUAAUCUGUAUCAAUUGUAAAUAUCGAGCUGUAGCUAAACUACAUCCUACUUAGUUCUGUACUUUAUACUCCGUAGAGUUGUGUUCUCUCUAAGAAUUAUUUCAACUUAAGACUGUAAUCUACUCUCCACAAAAGUUCCAGGACCAAUGGUUCUUUUCUGUCGUUCUGACUUAUGUGAGUAAUCCUAUCUAAACUGCCAGCAGUUACUCAACACCUUUCUCCAUCCAAUGUCACUAACCCAAUACAACACACCAAUCUCCAAUAAUAUCCUUAUCCUAUCAACCUCUCAACGGGCCUUGUUUACCAGCCUUACAGCGCCUACAAAACUUCCACUCACUUUGUCGGUGUGAAGUUUGUAACAACAUCCAACAUUCUGUGUGAUGAAAAGCCUCAGAAAUCCGUAAAUAUCUCUAAUCAUCACGGGUUCAAGAAUAGACUCACAUAGUACCUUUCUUAGCAUUAAAGCCUACCGGAAACUUUAACCUCGUCCCUGCUGUCUGAGAAUACAGCUAAGUGAAAACAAGUCUAAAAGACCAACACCUAAGCAAUUAUUCCUAUUUCACUGUAACUAAAUCAACCAUCUAUUAAUACAGUGUCAAUAUUCUAAAUGAAGAAUUAAGCUUCAUCUAUAAACUGAGUUUCCUUCAGUCUAUGACCAUAAACAUAAAGUAUUCUUAAUAAAACAUGUGAAUGACUGCACAGAGAGUUUGAAUUAUUUACAAGUUGUUUACAAAUGCUUUCUGAUUGAUAAUCAGCUAUUUACAUUUCAUUGAUUAUUCACAUAGAUUACCUUGUAAUCUUAAUGUCAGAAUCAAUAUUCUAGUUACAUUGUAUUCGUUAGAUUAUCAGAAUUAAUAUUCAGUAUUCUGAUCUGAAUAACAUUAAGCAUUCUGAUAUGUAUAACAUUAAGUAUUCUGAUCUUAUAACAUGAAGUAUUCUGAUCUUAUAACAUGAAGUAUUCUGAUCUUAAUAACUACGGGAAUAGCAUGCUUGACACCUAUGUAACACGUGAUCUUAACAUCCGAACACUCAUGAUGACUAGCUUUGUUUAGUGUGAUCCUAUUUGUAUAUGAUGUAAGAAAUGUAAAUAAAUAAUCAAAGUCAUUAAUCCUGAAA